UACGGAAGGUGCAAGCGUUAGUCGGAAUUACUGGGCGUAAAGGGUGCGUAGGCGGGAAAGUACGUCAGACGUGAAAUUCCGGGGCUCAACCCCGGAGCUGCGUUUGAAACGGCUUUUCUUGAGGACUAGCGGAGAGAAUGGAAUUCCAUGUGUAGCGGUGAAAUGCGUAGAUAUAUGGAAGAACACCAGUGGCGAAAGCGAUUCUCUAGCUUAAUCCUGACGCUAAGGCACGAGAGCAAGGGGAGCAAACAGG
This 253-nucleotide ribosomal RNA is filed under the name uncultured bacterium. RNAcentral's name for it is "partial 16S ribosomal RNA". It matches the Rfam family "Bacterial small subunit ribosomal RNA", at positions 524 to 776 of the family's 1533-position model. The record is from RNAcentral.